AAGAUUACCCGCUGAAUUUAAGCAUAUAAUUAAGCGGAGGAAAAGAAACUAACAAGGAUUCCCUCAGUAACUGCGAGUGAAGCGGGAUGAGCUCACACUUAAAAUCUAUCCUUAAUUGGAUCGAAUUGUAGUCUAUAGAGGAUGACACCAGUGAUAAUUACAAGCAAAGUCUUCCUGGAAAGGAGCUGCCAUUGAAGGUGAAAGCCCUGUUCAAUACUUGUAUUUAUAUCACGUACGGUGCGUUUUCGAAGAGUCGGUUUGCUUGGGAGUGCAGGCCAAAGUGGGAGGUAAAAUCCUUCUAAAGCUAAAUAUUGAUCAGACACCGAUAGCGAACAAGUACCGUGAGGGAAAGAUGCAAAGAACUUUGAAAAAAGAGUGAAAAGUACCUGAAAUUGCUGAAAGGGAAGACAUUGAACUUUGUGUGUGACGUUAAACUUGGGAUGGUUGUACACAACUGUCUGCGGUUUAUAUGUUUCCAGUUUACGUGGUUUUAAUUUGAAGUAAAUGGUUUGAUUGGUAGGUAGGUAUAAUUUCGGUUAUACUGUUUAACCUUUCUUAUCCUACUUUGAAUUGGAAUGAGGACCCAAUCUUGUUUGCAUUUAGCCUUAACUGGACUCGCAACAACAUGGACGUAAACAAAAAAGGUUUAAUGGCCCCGUCUUGUAACACGGACCAAGGAGUCUAGCGUAUGCGCGAGUAUUUGGGUGGUAAACCCAUAUGCGAAAUGAAAGUAAAGUUACCGUAAGGUAAUGAGGUGGGACUGUUUUUUAAUAAAGAACAUGCACCAUCGACCGAUCAUGAGCUUCGGCGUAAAGAUUUGAGUUUGAGCGCAGGUGCUGGGACCCGAAAGAUGGUGAACUAUGCCUGAAUAGGUUGAAGUCAGACGAAAGUCUGAUGGAGG
Molecule: ribosomal RNA, 901 nt
Filed under: Climacostomum virens
Lineage: Eukaryota; Ciliophora; Heterotrichea; Heterotrichida; Climacostomidae
Description: partial Eukaryotic large subunit ribosomal RNA
Rfam family: Eukaryotic large subunit ribosomal RNA
Source: RNAcentral